AUUGAACGCUGGCGGCAUGCUUUACACAUGCAAGUCGAACGGUAACAGGCCUUCGGGUGCUGACGAGUGGCGAACGGGUGAGUAAUGCAUCGGAACGUGCCCAGAGGUGGGGGAUAACGCAGCGAAAGCUGUGCUAAUAUCGCAUGUGAUCUGAGGAUGAAAGCGGGGGACCAAGCAGCAAUGUUUGGCCUCGCGCCUCUGGAGCGGCCGAUGUCAGAUUAGGUAGUUGGUGGGGUAAAGGCCUACCAAGCCGACGAUCUGUAGCUGGUCUGAGAGGACGACCAGCCACACUGGGACUGAGACACGGCCCAGACUCCUACGGGAGGCAGCAGUGGGGAAUUUUGGACAAUGGGCGCAAGCCUGAUCCAGCAAUGCCGCGUGCGGGAAGAAGGCCUUCGGGUUGUAAACCGCUUUUGUACGGAACGAAAAGGCUCUGGCUAAUACCUGGGGCUGAUGACGGUACCGUAAGAAUAAGCACCGGCUAACUACGUG
This 492-nucleotide ribosomal RNA is filed under the name uncultured bacterium. Its description in RNAcentral is "partial 16S ribosomal RNA". It matches the Rfam family "Bacterial small subunit ribosomal RNA", at positions 30 to 507 of the family's 1533-position model. The record is from RNAcentral.